Molecule: ribosomal RNA, 496 nt
Filed under: uncultured bacterium
Lineage: Bacteria
Description: bacterial SSU rRNA
Rfam family: Bacterial small subunit ribosomal RNA
Source: RNAcentral
AAAGGAAUAGACGGGGGCCCGCACAAGCGGUGGAGCAUGUGGUUUAAUUCGACGCAACGCGAAGAACCUUACCAGCUUUUGACAUGUCGGUCGGGGAGAGUGGAGACACUUUCUUUCAUUUAGUUGGACCGAACACAGGUGCUGCAUGGCUGUCGUCAGCUCGUGUCGUGAGAUGUUGGGUUAAGUCCCGCAACGAGCGCAACCCUUACUCAUAGUUGCCAUCAUUCAGUUGGGCACUUUAUGGGAACUGCCGGUGACAAGCCGGAGGAAGGUAGGGAUGACGUCAAGUCCUCAUGGCCCUUACAGGCUGGGCUACACACGUGCUACAAUGGCGCUGACAGAGGGAAGCGAGCCCGCGAGGGUAAGCGGAUCCUUUAAAAGGCGUCUCAGUUCGGAUUGGUCUCUGCAACUCGGGACCAUGAAGUUGGAAUCGCUAGUAAUCGCGGAUCAGCAGGUCGCGGUGAAUACGUUCCCGGGCCUUGUACACACCGCCCGU